ACUACGGUGCUGAAGUAACAAAUGCCCUGCUUCCAGGAAAAGCCUCUAAGCAUCAGGUAACAUUAAAUCGUACCCCAAACCGACACAGGUGGUCAGGUAGAGAAUACCAAGGCGCUUGAGAGAACUCGGGUGAAGGAACUAGGCAAAAUGGUGCCGUAACUUCGGGAGAAGGCACGCUGGUGUGUAGGUGAAGUCCCUGCGGAUGGAGCUGAGACCAGUCGAAGAUACCAGCUGGCUGCAACUGUUUAUUAAAAACACAGCACUGUGCAAACACGAAAGUGGACGUAUACGGUGUGACGCCUGCCCGGUGCCGGAAGGUUAAUUGAUGGGGUUAUCCGUAAGGAGAAGCUCUUGAUCGAAGCCCCGGUAAACGGCGGCCGUAACUAUAACGGUCCUAAGGUAGCGAAAUUCCUUGUCGGGUAAGUUCCGACCUGCACGAAUGGCGUAAUGAUGGCCAGGCUGUCUCCACCCGAGACUCAGUGAAAUUGAACUCGCUGUGAAGAUGCAGUGUACCCGCGGCAAGACGGAAAGACCCCGUGAACCUUUACUAUAGCUUGACACUGAACAUUGAGCCUUGAUGUGUAGGAUAGGUGGGAGGCUUUGAAGCGUGGACGCCAGUCUGCGUGGAGCCAACCUUGAAAUACCACCCUUUAAUGUUUGAUGUUCUAACGUUGGCCCCUUACCGGGGUUGCGGACAGUGUCUGGUGGGUAGUUUGACUGGGGCGGUCUCCUCCCAAAGCGUAACGGAGGAGCACGAAGGUUAGCUAAUCCUGGUCGGACAUCAGGAGGUUAGUGCAAUGGCAUAAGCUAGCUUGACUGCGAGCGUGACGGCGCGAGCAGGUGCGAAAGCAGGUCAUAGUGAUCCGGUGGUUCUGAAUGGAAGGGCCAUCGCUCAACGGAUAAAAGGUACUCCGGGGAUAACAGGCUGAUACCGCCCAAGAGUUCAUAUCGACGGCGGUGUUUGGCACCUCGAUGUCGGCUCAUCACAUCCUGGGGCUGAAGUAGGUCCCAAGGGUAUGGCUGUUCGCCAUUUAAAGUGGUACGCGAGCUGGGUUUAGAACGUCGUGAGACAGUUCGGUCCCUAUCUGCCGUGGGCGCUGGAGAAUUGAGGGGGGCUGCUCCUAGUACGAGAGGACCGGAGUGGACGCAUCACUGGUGUUCGGGUUGUCAUGCCAAUGGCACUGCCCGGUAGCUAAAUGCGGAAGAGAUAAGUGCUGAAAGCAUCUAAGCACGAAACUUGCCCCGAGAUGAGUUCUCCCUGAGACUUUAAGUCUCCUGAAGGAACGUUAAAGACGAUGACGUUGAUAGGCCGGGUGUGUAAGCGCAGCGAUGCGUUGAGCUAACCGGUACUAAUGAACCGUGAGGCUUAACCUU
This 1374-nucleotide ribosomal RNA is filed under the name Klebsiella pneumoniae. RNAcentral describes it as "bacterial LSU rRNA". It matches the Rfam family "Bacterial large subunit ribosomal RNA", at positions 1576 to 2925 of the family's 2925-position model. The record is from RNAcentral. Lineage: Bacteria; Pseudomonadati; Pseudomonadota; Gammaproteobacteria; Enterobacterales; Enterobacteriaceae.